CCAUAUAAUAGCCAGAAUGAGCCAAACAUGAGCCCGGUCCUCAUGUUUACUCUUCGUUUAGGUCAAGGAAGCUGAUCCGCUGAGUAAUGGCUCAGUCAUGAUUUUUAACACCUCUGCCUCACCACAUCUGUACCAAAUCAAGCAGCUGCAAGCCCUGGCUAAUUACAGCAUUGGUGUUUCCUGCAUGAAUGAAAUAGGCUGGUCUGCAGUGAGCCCUUGGAUUCUAGCCAGCACUACUGAAGGAGACCCAGAUCUUGUGAAGUGUUUUCACAUUUCCCCAUGGAUGCCUAGCGAGGGACUGGGACUGCCUGAUCCGCUUUGGUCAAGAGCACGUGGGUGGCCUGUGUGCAGCCUUAUCAUCAAUAAUUGCAGGACUUGGUGGAGUAUGGUUGAACAGGUGCUCAGACUGCGUGCGUGUCUAGCGAGGCCAUCCUGAAGCUGCAUGGGAGUUGUAAAAAAGUUACCAACAAGGUUUUAGUUAUUUGAAUAGGUUUUUGAAUAGAUUUGGAAUGUGGGAAGCAGUUGCAGAA
RNAcentral lists this long non-coding RNA (530 nucleotides) under Pan troglodytes (chimpanzee). RNAcentral's name for it is "long non-coding RNA NONPTRT010261". Lineage: Eukaryota; Metazoa; Chordata; Mammalia; Primates; Hominidae. The record is from RNAcentral.